Ananas comosus (pineapple) is the source of this 3680-nucleotide long non-coding RNA. RefSeq lists it as uncharacterized. The record is from RefSeq and is a predicted model, not a curated record. The transcript is spliced from 2 exons. NCBI's taxonomy places the organism in Eukaryota, Viridiplantae, Streptophyta, Magnoliopsida, Poales, Bromeliaceae.
AGCAGCGAGCUGGAUUGCCACCCCUAUUUGUUGCCACAAUAUAACAUAGAGGUCUUAAUCUUUCAUCCCUAAUUUCUACAUAAAUCUUUCAAGCCACAGCAAUCCGCAGAGUACAUGCACCAUAGCUCUAUACUCAGCUUAUGCACUGGAUCUUUUAUUCCUAAUUUCUGCCUUCAUCAUUCAUGUGUUGUUGUUUGCUUUUUUCUGAGCCAAGUGACCAAGUUUCCACCCGCAAAAUUCUCAUCUUCAGCAAUCAAGUCAUCUAGCUCAAUCAGCAUCAAUAAAAGCCUUAAUUUAAAUGACCAGUGCUUGAGAACAGCGGCCCUCUACGGGAGGCUGGCAUUAAAUAACUCAAGAUAUAAGAGCCUCUAAGUGAGUUAAUUUGGAAUCAUACAACUAUUGCUUUACUACACUGACUGCAUAAGCUAUGUCAGGCAGGUGCCGCAUCUUGAACUCGGUCUUCCAGGUGCUGUCCUCCCGAAUCCGGAGCUAGUGAUAGCCAGACUUCAAGUCCAGCUUGGUGAAGUAGAAAGCAUGCUUCAACUGGUCCAGGAGAUCGUGAAUUCGUGGGAAAGGGUACCGGUUCUUGAUGGCAAUUUUGUUGAGGACGCAGUAGUCGAUACACAUUCAUCACCCGCUGUCUUUUUUUGGCACCAACACGAUUGGGGAACCACAGGGGAAGCUGCUUGUUUUGAUAGCACCACUCUCGAGCAGCAUUCUCCACUACAAAGUCUCGAUACAUGCCGAGGUUCAAUAAUGGAGCGUUGCUGAUCAAUUGUAUCUCAUUUUCCAUGGCCCACUUUGAUGGCAACCCCUGGACUUCUUGUGCUCGCCAAUCAGUUUGGCAACAUCGUCAAUCCUUUCCCUGCACGAAAGCGAAAAACUUAACAACUUGUUAUUUGCAUCUUUAGAUUCAACUGGUCGAUUGACCAGCAAGGCAAAAUUUUGGCAAACAUUGAUCAUUCUCUUAGCUUGGCGAGCCAUAGGUCUAUAGUUGCGGACAAUGCCUUUAUAGCGAACUAAAAUUUCCGCCCAUCCUUAACAAAUUGGUACUGCUGGAGACGACGAAAGGUGGCAUCGCUGUCCCAUGGGAAGGGACAACCAAAGAUAAGGUUGCAAAUGUUCAGUGACACAAUCUCGCACACUAUUUCGUCUAUGUAGAUAUUAGUCACCGCAGACUUCACCUUGCACUGGUGAUCGAUCUUCAUCUCGACGUCGCUGGUAAUCCACCCCAAUGGACAUGGAUAUGGGUGUGGGUGUGGGUGUGGGUGUGGAGUAGUCGACAAACCCAGCUUUUGAACUAGAUUCUCCAAGAUCAAGUUCCUUUGGCUGCCAAGAUCAAUAAUAGCAUCAAUCACCUCAUUCUGGACCUGAACUCGGAGAGCGAACAACUCCCUUUUGUCAGGUGGAUGUGACGGGCACAAGCUUGUCUUGUUCGGCAUGGUCAUCAAAGUCAAGCUUGUGUCCGCCUUAUCAAUCUGUCCAACCAAGGUAGGAUGUAGUGUUCUAAAGAAAUUAAAAUGUUAUUUUGAUGGAAUAAUUACAGAUCUUAAUUAAUCAACACUUCUGGACAAUGUCAGGGCAAGUCGGAAUUGGAUGCGAAAUUGACGUCACAAAUAAUUCCGAAUCGAAAUUUAUCCUUAGCUGGAACACAUUUGCUUGCUAGUUGCUAAUGCCUUAGGCACACCUCACCUAAUUCCAACCACCCUAAAUGGGAUUUUUGGACUGUAGUAAUCAGCAAAUUGCAUCAUUCCUUCAUUCCCUUCUUUCACUUCCUACUCUUUCUCUUCUUCUUCUUCUUCUCCCUCUACUCUCCCUCUCCUUGCUGCCUUGUUCCCUGCGGAGAGCUCCAGCAGCAAGGUGAGAAGCAGCAGCCGGAGCAGGGUGUGAAGCAGCAGCAGCCAAGCAUCUUCAAAAGUAGAAGAGAAGCAGCAGCAAAGUUAAGAACUACCUUACCAUCUUGUUCUUCUCCUCCUACUCUGUUGGCAGCUGAAGCAGCAGCCAACCGUAGCAGCUACUACUACAUACAACAACAACAGUUGCAGUUUCAGCAGCAAAAUCAGCACCAGCAGUAGAGUUCAAGAGAACACUAUCAAAGUUGUCCCACUCUCUCUUCUGCCCUGGCUGCGGAUCAGGAAAAGCAGCAGCAACAACAAGAAUUUCAGCAGCAGCAGAAUUUCAACAGCAGCGGCAGGUAUUAUUUUGUGAAAAUUGGUUUGUGUGGAGUUAAUUACUGUGAUCAGAAUGGUUUACGGUGUUUUAGGAACCUGGGAAUUAAGUGUUAUUAGUUGAUUUGAGGUGGGUGUCGCUGAAUUUUAGUUUCUUCAAACCAAAUCGGUUUUCGCUAGAUUUUUUCAUUGAUUAUUGAUUCGGCUUAAAUCCAGCAGGGAUUUGUUGGAUUCUUCUUCACUUCCCGAAAAUUUUGGAGCUGAGGGAGGGUGCUCAUGAAAUUUCACCUUGAUCCGAGGUCGGAUUAGAGCACUAGGUGGGUUUAAAUUUACCAAAUUCGCGAAAUUUUCACUAAAUUGCGAAAAUUUCAGCAUGUAUAUUAUGGUUGUUCAAUGUUAAAUUGUUUAGCUUCAAAUCUUUGGAUUGGCAUGAAUAAUAAUGAAAUAUGGACUUUGAGUAUGCUAAACAUAAUUAUAGAAGAAUUUAGAUGCUGAAUUUGGACUUGGAACAUGUACAAAAUCCGCACUAUACCGCCGUAGCUCCGUCAUUAGCAUUUAUUUUCGUUAACCGUUUUUACUCGUUUGUCACCCUUAUUAGAGGGUAGUGAGCAUGUGGAUUAGUGUAGGAUGGAUUAACGCUCAUGUUGAGGGACUGAGUGUGAUUGUUAUAGCAGUUGUUAGACUAAGCUCUAUAAUAGGGUGCCGUCUCAGUCGAUGGUAGUCCGAAUCCUCAGAUUUUGCAUCAGAUUAUGCCUGGGGCACAUGAGUCACCGUUUUAUAAUCUAAUUGAUCAUCCGCAUUCGACUUAACCUGCACGAGCCAGAUUCGAGCUCGAAAGAGACUACGCUUUUUACUCGAUUGGGUAGCCCCCAAGUGCCUCACCAGAGUGAGGCCUUUUCGCGUUGGUGUUGCAGCAGCCUUUCAGGCGACCUACCUUAGACCAGCCACCCUCGAGGGUGGUGCGUAGUAAUAGGUUGGCGCAGGCUUGAUCGGCCCUGGAGGCGGUCAUAUGGAUUGAGUUGGUGGUGUUUGCUCAAUAAAUAGUUGAUGCAUUUAUCAUAGCGACAGUUUUAUUUGAACGUUAGUAGUGUAGAUCCAUAGUAGCUAUAGAUUUCUUCCCAGCUCUACUACUUAUAGCUUUUUUACUUACCCAGCUUUUUCUUUUAGUUUUCACAGGCGUAGUGCGUAGACUGUCCGCGUUAGUGACGAUACCCAUUAAGGACUACUUGUUUAUCGUAGUUCUCACGCCCUUUGUUACUUUAUUUUCUUGCAGAGCCCUCCGUCCCUGUCGCUACUACUGAUCGAGGUAAGGGAGUUGCGAAUCAGAUCCCUGCCUGUCCUUGCUGGUUCAGCUAGAGUACCCGAGUUAGCUGAUUUUGGGGAGGGUAGGCCACUGUACAUAUAGUUAUAGUUGUAUUUUAUUUCAGCUUAUGUGAGAUGUAGUUGUAUCUGAUGGAUUUAGCUGUGUACAAUUUUGGAGCAUGUAUGUAUAGUGGAUUGCUUUUAGUUUUA